CGGAGGGUGCAAGCGUUAUCCGGAUUCACUGGGUUUAAAGGGUGCGUAGGUGGGCUUGUAAGUCAGUGGUGAAAUCUCCGUGCUUAACAUGGAAACUGCCAUUGAUACUAUAGGUCUUGAAUUAUCUGGAGGUCAGCGGAAUAUGUCAUGUAGCGGUGAAAUGCUUAGAUAUGACAUAGAACACCAAUUGCGAAGGCAGCUGGCUACAGGUAUAUUGACACUGAGGCACGAAAGCGUGGGGAUCAAACAGGAUUAGAUACCCUGGUAGUCCACGCCCUAAACGAUGGAUACUCGACAUUUGUGAUACACAAUAAGUGUCUGAGCGAAAGCAUUAAGUAUCCCAUCUGGGAAGUACGACCGCAAGGUUG
RNAcentral lists this ribosomal RNA (368 nucleotides) under uncultured organism. RNAcentral's name for it is "bacterial SSU rRNA". It matches the Rfam family "Bacterial small subunit ribosomal RNA", at positions 526 to 896 of the family's 1533-position model. The record is from RNAcentral.